CAAGAGACCACCACAUCAAUCGUUCAUCACCAUCCCCAUCUCACGGUGUGUACCCUCAAUCCCCGGAAUAGAACGAUCCCUAUUUAUUACGUACUACUAAUGACAUUUCAGGGUUAAAUUGCGCGCUUACUUUUAGCUGCAUCAACUGGCGGCGUGGGUUGGGUCAGGUUCUGAUCCAAAUCUGCUUCAGAAAGUGGCGACGCGGGCGGCAUCAAAGGAGUUGUCAGCAAUCUGACGUGCAAGGCUUCCAAUUCUGUUUUGGGUUUGGGUUUGGGUUUGUUGCACUAGUUUUCGUUGACGUCUUUGGAGUGGUGGCGUCAAGGCUGCGUGGUGGUGUCCCUUGCGGCGUGGCGGCAAUGGUGAGUUGCUGUGGUGGCUGCGGUCAGGGGCGGAACUAUGUUCAGGUCUGGCGGGGUCCGGACCACCCUCAAGUUUUUGACAGAUCGCUCAAUACCAAGUGUUGCAGUAAUAAAGCUUAAAAUAAUUUUUUAAUCCAAUACAUGGACACCCCCGCGCCAUCCCUUUCCCUUCCUCCCUCAAACCCAAUCUCACACUACCACGUGCCACUUGCUAGGUAAGAGAAAGAAAACAAUAACAGAAAGAUGGAUAGAUCGUAAAUGUCCCCCUGAUUACUAUUCUAUAUAUAAUAUUUUAUUGAAUUGAAA
Rosa chinensis is the source of this 665-nucleotide long non-coding RNA. RefSeq lists it as uncharacterized. Lineage: Eukaryota; Viridiplantae; Streptophyta; Magnoliopsida; Rosales; Rosaceae. The record is from RefSeq and is a predicted model, not a curated record. The transcript is spliced from 2 exons.